This 93-nucleotide ribosomal RNA is filed under the name Clostridium homopropionicum. Lineage: Bacteria; Bacillati; Bacillota; Clostridia; Eubacteriales; Clostridiaceae. The record is from RNAcentral.
ACACCCGUUCCCAUUCCGAACACGAAGGUUAAGCUUCAAAGCGCCGAUGGUACUGCACUGGUGACGGUGUGGAAGAGUAGGUCGCCGCCGGGU